UACGUAGGGUGCAAGCGUUGUCCGGAAUUAUUGGGCGUAAAGAGCUCGUAGGCGGCUAGUCGCGUCGGCUGUGAAAACCUGGGGCUCAACCCCGGGCCUGCAGACGAUACGGGCUAGCUAGAAUUCGGUAGGGGAGACUGGAAUUCCUGGUGUAGCGGUGAAAUGCGCAGAUAUUAGGAGGAACACCGGUGGCGAAGGCGGGUCUCUGGGCCGAUAUUGACGCUGAGGAGCGAAAGCGUGGGGAGCGAACAGG
RNAcentral lists this ribosomal RNA (253 nucleotides) under uncultured bacterium. RNAcentral's name for it is "partial 16S ribosomal RNA". It matches the Rfam family "Bacterial small subunit ribosomal RNA", at positions 524 to 776 of the family's 1533-position model. The record is from RNAcentral.